Molecule: ribosomal RNA, 455 nt
Filed under: uncultured organism
Description: partial 16S ribosomal RNA
Rfam family: Bacterial small subunit ribosomal RNA
Source: RNAcentral
ACGUACACUCCUACGGGAGGCAGCAGUGGGGAAUAUUGGACAAUGGGCGCAAGCCUGAUCCAGCCAUGCCGCGUGAGUGAUGAAGGCCCUAGGGUUGUAAAGCUCUUUCACCGGUGAAGAUAAUGACGGUAACCGGAGAAGAAGCCCCGGCUAACUUCGUGCCAGCAGCCGCGGUAAUACGAAGGGGGCUAGCGUUGUUCGGAUUUACUGGGCGUAAAGCGCACGUAGGCGGACUAUUAAGUCAGGGGUGAAAUCCCGGGGCUCAACCCCGGAACUGCCUUUGAUACUGGUAGUCUUGAGUCCGAGAGAGGUGAGUGGAAUUCCGAGUGUAGAGGUGAAAUUCGUAGAUAUUCGGAGGAACACCAGUGGCGAAGGCGGCUCACUGGCUCGAUACUGACGCUGAGGUGCGAAAGCGUGGGGAGCAAACAGGAUUAGAAACCCGUGUAGUCCCAUGA